GGAGGAAGGAGGGGGGGCUUCAUUUCUGAUAUCUUUCAUCACCGGCAGAGACCAUCUCUGGCAGCUCUCCUGGACCACCCUCCAUUCAUUCGGACAGCCAACUCCACCAUAUCACGUACCUGAGCCUCGCACACCCUCCUCUGCCUCUCCAUCACUCUACAAGCAACCCAUCCCUUUGUCUCUCGGUCAAUCUCUGUCUCCCAGCCGCACAUCCACUUUGCCGGCCACCCUCCAGAUCCACCACGCCGACAACAUCACAACCAUCGCUACCACUGUCACCAUCUCUAGAUCCGGCUAACGCUGCUCCAUGACCACCAGCAACUCUCCAGCUAUCUUGUCGUCCCCGGAUCUCACUGCCGCUGCUCAAACAAAAACCCCCCUGCGAGCACCACCUCACACUGGAAAAACAUCCGAGAAAACCAACAGUUCUCCGGCCACCUCCCAUCGCAUCUCUCACGUCGCAUGCACCAUUUCCCGGCCUUUCGUUCACCGACUCCAGCCAUCUGCAUUUUUGAACCACCUGCGGACUCUUUCCAGAAACUCUGUUCUAGUAGAGUCUGCUAUUCAGGUCGGGUUCCACCUCACCCAGCUUGCAUUUUCACUCCACUAGACAACCAUUAACACACACAGUUGGGCAACACCCUGCUCAUCAUCCCCAAAGCUCCCUGACCCGCUGCCACUACCGCCGUGAACCACACCAGAGCGCCCUCACUCCUUCUCCCUCUGUUUCACCAGCAAACAAACCAGCAUCCAUCAUUACCGCCUCCCUCGAGCACACGAGCCAUCGCCCAUAGCAGCAGCCCCCUCUGCUUCUUGGCCAGGCCGCAGCUUCUUCAAAUUCCUGUGUAGCCACCACUUCACUCGGCCUCACUCUCCCUCUCACCGCAAACUCAGAUCCAUACCACGUAACCCCGCAGCAUCAUCCUCUUUGAAGAGAUUUCUUGAGAAGCAUAAAAGGCUACAGACAGUUCUACUUGUUGUGGUGUUAUUGGGUGCUUCUGUGGUUGUAGGUGAUGGUCUUCUCACUCCUACAAUUUCAGUUCCAUCAUCUGUACCAAGGCCGCAUGCUACAGAAUCCAAAUUAACCAAAGGUUCUUUGGUCAGACUGGCGAAGAUGGUCGGAUUUCUCUUGGAGGAUAUUUAUUCAAGUUCACAUCUCCUCUGAUGUUCUCUUAUUAAUUGAUGUUUCAAUUGAUCCAUCUGGCUUGAAUCUUAGUUUUGAUCUUGGGAUUUCCGGAAGAAAUGUUGGAGGUUUAUCUGAGGACAUCCUCGAGGUUGAGCUUUGAGAGCUCGAGGUUUUAUAGCAUUAUUGGGAAAUAAAAAAAUAAAAGGGUAUAUUUCUAUGUUAAUUUUGGGGAAUGUAAAUAUUUAUGUUUUAUGUUUUAUGUUUUAAGACUAUUAAGUAAAGAAUGAUUGUGAAAAUACUGAAUUGUUUUGGGAGUUAUGUAUUUAUGGAAAUGCAGGUGAUGGAUGAUUUAUUAUAGAUUAUAGUUAAAAUUAAUAAACUUUGGUAUUAUAUUAUAUAGAAA
Molecule: long non-coding RNA, 1529 nt
Organism: Malania oleifera
Lineage: Eukaryota; Viridiplantae; Streptophyta; Magnoliopsida; Santalales; Ximeniaceae
Exons: 2
Source: RefSeq, a predicted model, not a curated record